Rhinopithecus roxellana (golden snub-nosed monkey) is the source of this 910-nucleotide RNA transcript. It is a transcript of the gene named proliferating cell nuclear antigen pseudogene, with no coding region annotated. The record is from RefSeq and is a predicted model, not a curated record. NCBI's taxonomy places the organism in Eukaryota, Metazoa, Chordata, Mammalia, Primates, Cercopithecidae. The transcript has a single exon.
UCAUUCUAGGUCUCAACCUCUCCCCAUGGCUUUUGCCCGCUUGCUCUGAGACUCGUGAAGCCAAAACAGGCUAGACUUUCCUAUUUUCUGCCCGCCUGUAGCCGUGUUGUAGUCACUCCAUCACCAUGUUCCAGGCGCACCUGGUCCAGGGAUCUGUCCUGAAGAAGGUGUUGGAAGCACUCAAGGACCUCAUCAACGAUGCCUGCUGGGACAUCAGCUCGAGCGGUGUGAACCUGCAGAGCGUGGACUCGUCCCACGUCUCCUUGGUGCAGUUCACCCUGCCGUCUGAGGGCUUUGACACUUACCGCUGCGACUGCAACCUGGCCAUGGGCAUGAACCUCAGUAUUAUAUCCAAAAUACUAAAAUGCGCUGGCAAUGAAGAUAUCAUCACACUAAGGACUGAAGAUAGUGUGGAUACCUUGAUGCUAUUAUUUGAAGCUUCAAAUCAGGAGAAGUUUUCAGGCUAUGAAAUUAAGUUGAUGAAUUUGGAUGUUGAACAACUUGGAAUUGCAGAACAAGAGUACCACUCUGUAGCAAAGAUGCCUUCUGGUGAAUUUGCAUGUAUAUGUAUAUUAUCUCAGUCAUAUUGGAGAUGCUGUUGUAAUUUCCUGUGUAAAAGAUGGAAUCAAAUUUUCUGCAAGUGGAGACCUUGGAAAUGGAAACAAAUUGUCACAGGCAAGUACUGUCGAUAAAGAGGAGGAAGCUGUUACCAUGGAAAUGAAUGAACCAGUUCAGCUAACUUUUGCACUGAGGUGCCUGAACUUCCUUACAAAAGCCACUCCAUUCUCUUCAAUGGUGACACUCAAUAUGUCUGCAGACAUACACCUUGCUGUAGACUAUAAAAUUGCUGAUAUGGGACACUUAAAAGUACUACUUGGCUCCCAAGAUCAAGGAUGAAGAAGGACCUUAG